Molecule: long non-coding RNA, 402 nt
Organism: Megalopta genalis
Lineage: Eukaryota; Metazoa; Arthropoda; Insecta; Hymenoptera; Halictidae
Source: RefSeq, a predicted model, not a curated record
ACGCAUUGUUUGUAGUACAGUUCCACUACACCUUGGUGUCAUAAUUUAUUCACUCUAUCCUGUUUCCGGCGUACGUUUAUGUUUCAAUUUACCUCAAAUUAUGAGAGAUAAUGAUUCUACCCGGGGGGUAGAAAGUCUGGUUACACACUACAGCUGCUACAUUUUCCAUGUACAGUCGAGGAUACCGUUGUGCAAGAAGAUCGUAGAACUGUUCGCUAAUGUCGGCAAGAUCCAACAGUUGCGCCAGAAACCAUUGCAGAAACUUUGGGAGCAGAUGUUUCAACGAGAACAACAACUAGGAAAUUACACGAAGUUGGACUAUUAUAGCAUGCUGCAAGGUUAGGUGUAAGUGAUUUAUUGAUCAAAUUAAUAUAAAAUACGAAAAAAUGUAUAAAUAUGACA